GAGGGGUGGCUGAGUGGUUGAAAGCACUUGUCUUGAAAACAAGCAUACGUUUACGCGUAUCGCAGGUUCGAAUCCUGUCCCCUC
Molecule: transfer RNA, 84 nt
Filed under: SAR202 cluster bacterium
Lineage: Bacteria; Bacillati; Chloroflexota; Dehalococcoidia
Description: tRNA-Ser
Rfam family: tRNA
About the family: Transfer RNA (tRNA) molecules are approximately 80 nucleotides in length.
Source: RNAcentral